RNAcentral lists this ribosomal RNA (433 nucleotides) under uncultured bacterium. RNAcentral's name for it is "partial 16S ribosomal RNA". It matches the Rfam family "Bacterial small subunit ribosomal RNA", at positions 30 to 507 of the family's 1533-position model. The record is from RNAcentral.
AGCGAACGCUGGCGGCAUGCUUAACACAUGCCAGUCGCACGGGCAGCAAUGUCAGUGGCGGACGGGUGAGUAACGCGUAGGAACGUGUCCUGAGGUGGGGGACAACCCCGGGAAACUGGGGCUAAUACCGCAUAUGGGCUGAGGCCCAAAGCCGAGAGGCGCCUUUGGAGCGGCCUGCGUCCGAUUAGGUAGUUGGUGGGGUAAAGGCCUACCAAGCCUGCGAUCGGUAGCUGGUCUGAGAGGACGACCAGCCACACUGGGACUGAGACACGGCCCAGACUCCUACGGGAGGCAGCAGUGGGGAAUAUUGGACAAUGGGCGAAAGCCUGAUCCAGCAAUGCCGCGUGGGUGAAGAAGGUCUUCGGAUCGUAAAGCCCUUUCGACGGGGACGAUGAUGACGGUACCCGUAGAAGAAGCCCCAGCUAACUUCGUG